This 19-nucleotide microRNA is filed under the name Prunus persica (peach). RNAcentral's name for it is "microRNA miRNA_271". The record is from RNAcentral. RNAcentral also lists the same sequence under 2 other names. Lineage: Eukaryota; Viridiplantae; Streptophyta; Magnoliopsida; Rosales; Rosaceae.
GACAGAAGAGAGUGAGCAC